CCGGAGCAUCAUAGAGGAUAAGAAUUUUGCAACAAUUGACAUGCUUGGGCAGUGACAAAUAUUUGAAAUGUAUACUUUCGUUAAGUUAAGAUUAUGAGGAAAUAAAGUUUAUUUAAUUGUCAAAAGUAUACAAUCAGUCAUGUAAACAGUCUAUUUUUUUUAAGUGAGUAGUUAAACAUGAAAAUACCAGAUGUAUUAAAAAUGGUACAAAGCUUUGACGUU
Molecule: long non-coding RNA, 222 nt
Filed under: Mytilus galloprovincialis (Mediterranean mussel)
Lineage: Eukaryota; Metazoa; Mollusca; Bivalvia; Mytilida; Mytilidae
Source: RNAcentral